UUGAACGCUGGCGGCAUGCUUUACACAUGCAAGUCGAACGGCAGCGCGGGCUUCGGCCUGGCGGCGAGUGGCGAACGGGUGAGUCAUGCAUCGGAACGUGCCCAGUCGUGGGGGAUAGCCCGGCGAAAGCCGGAUUAAUACCGCAUACGACCUGAGGGUGCAAGCGGGGGACCGAAAGGCCUCGCGCUAUUGGAGCGGCCGAUGUCGGAUUAGCUAGUUGGUGGGGUAAAGGCUUACCAAGGCGACGAUCCGUAGCUGGUCUGAGAGGACGACCAGCCACACUGGGACUGAGACACGGCCCAGACUCCUACGGGAGGCAGCAGUGGGGAAUUUUGGACAAUGGGGGCAACCCUGAUCCAGCCAUGCCGCGUGCGGGAAGAAGGCCUUCGGGUUGUAAACCGCUUUUGUUCGGGAAGAAAUCCUCUGGGCUAAUACCCCGGGGGGAUGACGGUACCGGAAGAAUAAGCACCGGCUAACUACGUG
This 483-nucleotide ribosomal RNA is filed under the name uncultured bacterium. Its description in RNAcentral is "partial 16S ribosomal RNA". It matches the Rfam family "Bacterial small subunit ribosomal RNA", at positions 29 to 507 of the family's 1533-position model. The record is from RNAcentral.